RNAcentral lists this long non-coding RNA (1113 nucleotides) under Nicotiana tabacum (common tobacco). Its description in RNAcentral is "long non-coding RNA (NTAB_LNC015995)". The record is from RNAcentral. Lineage: Eukaryota; Viridiplantae; Streptophyta; Magnoliopsida; Solanales; Solanaceae.
CUCAAUAUCAUAGGUUUCUCUCCAUCCCAAAAUAUAUGAAAUUACAUUUGGUAGAAGUGAUGAAACGUUAGCAUCAUAUCGCAGAAGCUCAAACUUACUUUUAAGGAAUAAACAUUUACAUUUACAAUUGGCACAAAGUAAAGAGAAACACCUAAAUUCACCUAAUACAAAAAUAACAGAAGUAAAUUCAUUGUCCUAGUAUGGAAACAAAGCAGAGGCAUCUUCAACGAUCCGUCAACUGUGUAGGUGCAACUUGACAGCUUAGAAGAUAUGUCUAAGUUCAGGAUAUAUAUAUAUUCUGCCGAACAGCCAAAGUGCUUCCCAUAGAUAUGUUGAUUAUCUUGAGCAUCUCUAUUGAGCUGCCAUUUAACAAUGGGACAUUGCCCCAAUGAAAUUCCCAUUAUGUUAGCCUUUUAGAGAAGUUACUCAUCGAAGAAGCUAUUGGAGCAAAAAAAAAAAAAAAAAAAAAAAAAAUAACGAUGGCAUUCCAACAAAAUAGAAGAAUAAAUGACAAAUCAUAAGGUAAAUUAUUUUCUCCUAUAUCAUAUAAUUGAUUCUAAAUAAUUUUUGGGUGAUUCAACACAGCAUGAAAGUUUUCGUGUCAAAUACAAUGGGAGAAUAAUCAGAGAGUGCAAACAGUUGAUUCUUUAGCUCAAAUAGAAUCUACCAUAACUUCUUUUUAUUUCUAAGCAGAUGGAGUGCAUGUAUAUUAGUUGCUACUGACUAAACAAUUUUACUUUGUAAUGUUCAGAUUACCUCAUUCUUAUGCUUUAUCCUCUUUGUUAGGAUCGGGAAUCCGGGUAGUGCUGAAUUUAGCCAAACAACAGUAUAAUGACAAUAACAAAGACAAUGGAAGUUGAUAAUAAUGACAAUUAAAGAAUAUAAAGAAGACACAAAUUUAACGUGGUUCGGUCAAGGUGACCUACGUCCAUAAGCGGAGAUGAGCAAUUUUACUAUACCAACAAGAGUACAAAAGAGAGUACAAAAUUAGAGUAAAUACUCUAAUUAAUCCCAAAUACCCCAAGAGAAUAACCUCACAAGAUCACUCCAAAGAAAAGGUUCACACAAGUAUUUUCCAACACUCACUCUCUUACAAAAUACUCUAUAAUGAAA